RNA transcript from Juglans microcarpa x Juglans regia, 2254 nucleotides. It is a transcript of the gene named tRNA nucleotidyltransferase cca2, with no coding region annotated. NCBI's taxonomy places the organism in Eukaryota, Viridiplantae, Streptophyta, Magnoliopsida, Fagales, Juglandaceae. The record is from RefSeq and is a predicted model, not a curated record. The transcript has 17 exons.
AGAAUGUAUUCUUGGGGUCGAGUCCGUUCCAAGACUCGAAUAAAGAAGCAUGAGAAGUGCAUUGGGAGCGGGAGUGGGAGGAGUACAGCAUUUUCUUCUCCCUUUUCCAAGUUUCCGAAUCGCCAACUAUUCUUUCAACUUUUGCACUCCCCACAAGCGAAUCCCUACCAUAGGGUUUCUCCGUUGCACAGCCAUGCCGACUGUCAUACCUGCGCCAGUCGUUCAAGUCAAGGAGAGGAUUGAACUGACCGUCACCGAGAGGAACAUCUUUGACAGGCUUCUCGGCACUCUUCGCCACUUCGGUCUCAGCAAUCAGCUCCGAGUUGCCGGCGGCUGGGUCCGCGACAAGCUUUUAGGAAAAGAGUGUUACGAUAUUGAUAUCGCGCUGGACAAUAUGUUGGGGAGUGAAUUUGUUGAGAAGGUGAGGGAGUACCUGUUGUCUAAUGGGGAACAAGUACAAGGGGUUGCUGUUAUUCCAAGCAAUCCUGAGCAGUCCAAGCAUUUAGAAACAGCAAGAAUGCGGCUGUUUGAUAUGUGGAUUGACUUUGUAAACUUACGGUGUGAAGAGUACAGUGAUAAUAGCCGCAUUCCUACAAAGGAAAAAAAAAAGGAUUUCAUGACUGCAGAAAACUCUUGGGUUCAAUACAGGAAAUGGUUAAUGAGCUUUGUCAAUUUCUUUGUGACAUGGAUGCUUAGGACUCGUGCGUGUCAAAAAUUUGGCACAGCAGAAGAGGAUGCUUACAGAAGGGAUCUAACCAUCAACAGCUUGUUCUACAAUAUUAACACUAAUACAGUAGAAGAUUUUACUAAGAGAGGCAUUGCAGACCUAAAAUCUGGAAAGAUAGUGACGCCAUUACCUCCGAAGGCUACUUUUUUGGACGAUCCAUUACGAGUUCUUCGAGCUAUCCGUUUUGGAGCAAGAUUUGGAUUCAUAUUAGAUGAAGAUCUAAAGGAAGCUGCUUCCUGUGAUGAAGUGAAAGAUGCUCUUGCAGCUAAAAUCAGCAGAGAGAGGAUUGGAGUUGAAAUUGAUCUCAUGAUCUCUGGAAAUCAGCCAGUUAAAGCAAUGACCUACAUUUGUGAUUUGAUGUUAUUUCCAAUUGUCUUCAGCUUUCCUCCCAAGUUUGAGCCUUCCAAAUCAGAAAGCUGUGAUAGGCUUUGCAAUGCCUACUUGGAUGCUACAUGGAACCUUAUUCAAUUAAUUGGAGGAUCUAUUUUCAGUGAUGAACAACGAAGACUUUCAUUGUAUGCUACUUUGUUUCUCCCAUUUAGAAAGACCAUAUAUAAAGACCACAAGGCGAAAAAGAUACCUGUUGUCAACUACAUUUUCCGGGAGUCUCUUAAACGAAAAGCCAGUGAUUCUGAAACAGUUAUAAAUAUACAUGGUGCAGUGGACAAAUUCUUAUCUCUGAUUCCUUUCCUUGUGUCUGAUGGGGACAUUGAACUCAUUGAAGUUGACUGGGGAAGGGGAUUGGAUGAUGUCCCUCCUACUUCAAAACUUCGGGUACUGACAGGUUUACUUCUACGAGAAAUCAAAGAUUUUUGGCGUGUGGCCUUGUUGUUGUCUACACUGUUAUAUCCCACCGAUGUUGAUUAUACUGAAGAUUUUUUAAAGCAGCACUUUCAAUUGGCCGAGAGAAAAGAUCUAUUCAAGGCAGUUGAAAAUGCCAUUACUGAAUUAGUGCAGGUCUUGAGAAAGUGUGGGAUGUAAAACCAUUGCUGAAUGGUAAGGGUAUUAUGAGUGUUUUGGAGCUUAAAGCUGGAGGACCACUUGUUAGGGAGUGGCAAGAAAAACAGCUUGCAUGGCAACUUGCCCAUCCCUCUGGAGCUGUGGAGGAAUGCCUUGAUUGGAUGAAGCAGACCCAUUCUAAGCGUUUAAAGACGGAGUAACCAUUGAAUCUCUGUGAUCCACAUCCACUCAUGGCGAAUCUCUCGACUGCCCCAAAUUGGUUACACACUUCUGGUUUGCACUGAGAGAUCAGCUGUGCUAGUUGCCCCAAGUUGCUGAGACAUUGUGUGGUUGGUGACGGGCUUCCCGAAAAUGUUCGUGUGUUUGUUGGAACGUCAUUUCCAUGCUUUUUGGUAGGGAAAUGCAUUUAUUUUUCACCUUCUUUUUUAUCACAUGGCUGGGAUCCAACUUUGACGGGGGUUUAUUCUAUCUCUCCGCUCUGCCUUGUCGGUGUUUGAAGUAUAAUAGUGAAGCAAUGCAUAUGGUGAGAAUAGCUAUUGGAAUGUCUCAAAAUUCCAAAUCAAGUGA